This 353-nucleotide long non-coding RNA is filed under the name Homo sapiens (human). RNAcentral describes it as "HSALNT0347687". The record is from RNAcentral. Lineage: Eukaryota; Metazoa; Chordata; Mammalia; Primates; Hominidae.
AUUUUACCUCCAGGCUGGUAACAGUAUCAUCUUCCUGAAUGACACCUUCACCACAUCCACUCUUGUCAGGAAGGAAGCCUUUUUAAUUCUCCAAAGCUCAAAGCCCACAAUGUUCUACACAGUGACCUUGAGGGACUGAUCACCCCUUGGUACUUGCCAACUACAGAUUAAUUUCUAUUGUUUAGUCCAGAGAAAACUGUCAAGGAACUAUGGAUUCAUGAGUGGAAGUACUGGGUCAUCUGAUAAUCCUGUGUUUAACUUUUUGAGGAACCGCCAUACCGUUUUCCACAGCAUGUGCUCCUUUACUUGUAUGCGUGUAUUCCAUCUCUUCUAACAACACUCCAGCAAAAUAG